Molecule: ribosomal RNA, 468 nt
Filed under: uncultured bacterium
Lineage: Bacteria
Description: partial 16S ribosomal RNA
Rfam family: Bacterial small subunit ribosomal RNA
Source: RNAcentral
GACGGACGCUGGCGGCGUGCUUAACACAUGCAAGUCGAACGGAAAGGCCCUGCUUUUGUGGGGUGCUCGAGUGGCGAACGGGUGAGUAACACGUGAGUAACCUGCCCUUGACUUUGGGAUAACUUCAGGAAACUGGGGCUAAUACCGGAUAGGAGCUCCUGCUGCAUGGUGGGGGUUGGAAAGUUUCGGCGGUUGGGGAUGGACUCGCGGCUUAUCAGCUUGUUGGUGGGGUAGUGGCUUACCAAGGCGUUGACGGGUAGCCGGCCUGAGAGGGUGACCGGCCACAUUGGGACUGAGAUACGGCCCAGACUCCUACGGGAGGCAGCAGUGGGGAAUAUUGCACAAUGGGCGGAAGCCUGAUGCAGCAACGCCGCGUGCGGGAUGACGGCCUUCGGGUUGUAAACCGCUUUCGCCUGUGACGAAGCGUGAGUGACGGUAAUGGGUAAAGAAGCACCGGCUAACUACGUG